This 746-nucleotide ribosomal RNA is filed under the name uncultured cyanobacterium. RNAcentral describes it as "bacterial SSU rRNA". It matches the Rfam family "Bacterial small subunit ribosomal RNA", at positions 8 to 796 of the family's 1533-position model. The record is from RNAcentral. Lineage: Bacteria; Bacillati; Cyanobacteriota.
AGAGUUUGAUCAUGGCUCAGGAUGAACGCUGGCGGUAUGCUUAACACAUGCAAGUCGAACGGGACCCUCCGGGGUUCAGUGGCGGACGGGUGAGUAACGCGUGAGAAUCUGGCUCCAGGUUCGGGACAACCACUGGAAACGGUGGCUAAUACCGGAUGUGCCCUUGGGUGAAAGAUUAAUUGCCUGGAGAUGAGCUCGCGUCUGAUUAGCUAGUUGGUGGGGUAAAGGCUUACCAAGGCGACGAUCAGUAGCUGGUCUGAGAGGACGAUCAGCCACACUGGGACUGAGACACGGCCCAGACUCCUACGGGAGGCAGCAGUGGGGAAUUUUCCGCAAUGGGCGAAAGCCUGACGGAGCAAUACCGCGUGAGGGAGGAAGGCUCUUGGGUUGUAAACCUCUUUUCUCAGGGAAGAACAAAAUGACGGUACCUGAGGAAUCAGCAUCGGCUAACUCCGUGCCAGCAGCCGCGGUAAUACGGAGGAUGCAAGCGUUAUCCGGAAUGAUUGGGCGUAAAGCGUUCGCAGGUGGUGCAGUAAGUCUGCUGUUAAAAGUCGGGGCUCAACCCCGAACCGGCGGUGGAAACUACAGCGCUAGAGUGCGGUAGGGGCAGAGGGAAUUCCUGGUGUAGCGGUGAAAUGCGUAGAGCUCAGGAAGAACACCGGUGGCGAAAGCNCUCUGCUGGACCGAAACUGACACUGAGGGACGAAAGCUAGGGGAGCGAAUGGGAUUAGAUACCCCCGUAGUCC